CCUACGGGGCGCUGCAGUGGGGAAUUUUGGUCAAUGGACGCAAGUCUGAACCAGCCAUGCCGCGUGCAGGAAGACGGCUCUAUGAGUUGUAAACUGCUUUUGUACGAGGGUAAACGCAGAUACGCGUAUCUGUAUGACAGGAUAGUACGAAGAAGGAUCGGACAACCCCGUGCCAGCAGCCGAGGUAAUACGGAGGAGUCAAGCGUUAUCCGGUUUUAAUGGGGUUAAAGGGUGCGUAGUCGGUGGGGUAAGUUGGAGGUGAAAUCCUGAGGCUCAACUUCGGAAUUGCCUCUGAUACUGUUCGGCUAGAGAGUAGUUGCGGCAGACGGAAUGUAUGGUGUAGCGGUGAAAUGCUUAGAGAUCAUACAGAACACCGAUGGCGAAGGCAGCUUA
This 393-nucleotide ribosomal RNA is filed under the name uncultured bacterium. RNAcentral's name for it is "partial 16S ribosomal RNA". It matches the Rfam family "Bacterial small subunit ribosomal RNA", at positions 338 to 728 of the family's 1533-position model. The record is from RNAcentral.